Molecule: ribosomal RNA, 253 nt
Filed under: uncultured bacterium
Lineage: Bacteria
Description: partial 16S ribosomal RNA
Rfam family: Bacterial small subunit ribosomal RNA
Source: RNAcentral
UACAGAGGGUGCGAGCGUUAAUCGGAAUUACUGGGCGUAAAGCGUGCGUAGACGGCUAUCUAAGUCGGGUGUGAAAGCCCCGGGCUCAACCUGGGAAUUGCAUUCGAGACUGAAUAGCUAGGGUACGGUAGAGGGAAGCGGAAUUUCCGGUGUAGCGGUGAAAUGCGUAGAUAUUGGGAAGAACACCGGUGGCGAAGGCGGCCAUCUGGACCGCAACUGACGCUGAGGCGCGAAAGCGUGGGGAGCAAACAGG